This 314-nucleotide unclassified non-coding RNA is filed under the name Hevea brasiliensis (rubber tree). Lineage: Eukaryota; Viridiplantae; Streptophyta; Magnoliopsida; Malpighiales; Euphorbiaceae. The record is from RNAcentral.
AGCAAGUAAAUGAUUUAAAAUUCGAGUUAUUUCACAAAAUAACACUCGUAUAUAUUGAGCUCGUAAUGGUACCUCGCAAUUCAAAAGUCUCUCUACGGCUAAAGAAUAAGCGUGUUCUUGGGCCAUCAUAGAAACAUAGUUAGGGUCAACGACGGAACGAACAACGAAACUUUACGACAGCUUUUUCGUACACGUUCACUUGCAUCACAUACACAAGUGCUCUCUGAACCGUGCAAUAAGGUCACCCAUAACACGGCUCUCCCACUUGAGUUACCUUAGCCCCGGGCCAUGCUAUUCAAUAAUAUUGGAAAAAU